UAGUUAGCAAUUACACCGUGAAACUGCGAAUGGCUCAUUAUAUCAGUUAUCGUUUAUUUGAUAGUUCCUUACUACUUGGAUAACCGUGGUAAUUCUAGAGCUAAUACAUGCUGAAAACCCCGACUUCGGAAGGGGUGUAUUUAUUAGAUUAAAAACCAAUGCCCUUCGGGGCUCCCUGGUGAUUCAUGAUAACUUCUCGAAUCGCAUGGCCUUGCGCCGGCGAUGGUUCAUUCAAAUUUCUUCCCUAUCAACUUUCGAUGCUAAAGUAUUGUUCUACCAUGGUUACAACGGGUAACGGAGAAUUAGGGCUCGACCCCGGAGAAGGAGCCUGAGAAACGGCUACUACAUCCAAGGAAGGCAGCAGGCGCGCAAAUUACCCAAUCCCGACACGGGGAGGUAGUGACGAUAAAUACUGAUACAGGGCUCUUUUGGGUCUUGUAAUUGGAAUGAGUACAAUUUAAAUCUCUUAACGAGGAACAAUUGGAGGGCAAGUCUGGUGCCAGCAGCCGCGGUAAUUCCAGCUCCAAUAGCGUAUAUUAAAGUUGUUGCGGUUAAAAAGCUCGUAGUAGAAACUUGGGCCUGGCUGGCCGGUCCGCCUCACCGCGUGCACUGGUCCGGCCGGGCCUUUCCCUCUGUAGAACCGCAUGCCCUUCACUGGGUGUGCUGGGGAAACAGGACUUUUACUUUGAAAAAAUUAGAGUGCUCCAAGCAGGCCUUUGCUCGAAUACAUUAGCAUGGAAUAAUAGAAUAGGACGUGCGGUUCUAUUUUGUUGGUUUCUAGGACCGCCGUAAUGAUUAAUAGGGACAGUCGGGGGCAUCAGUAUUCAAUUGUCAGAGGUGAAAUUCUUGGAUUUAUUGAAGACUAACUACUGCGAAAGCAUUUGCCAAGGAUGUUUUCAUUAAUCAGGAACGAAAGUUAGGGGAACCAAAACGAUCAAAAACCGUCGAAGCCUAACCUAAACUAGCCGACAAGG
Molecule: ribosomal RNA, 974 nt
Filed under: Colletotrichum gloeosporioides
Lineage: Eukaryota; Fungi; Ascomycota; Sordariomycetes; Glomerellales; Glomerellaceae
Description: SSU rRNA
Rfam family: Eukaryotic small subunit ribosomal RNA
Source: RNAcentral